UUGUCUCAAAUUUUCAAAACCAAAAAUCAGUUAACAAUUAGAAAUCACCUCCUUGUUUUCUUCUUGUUCGAACAACCACCACCAAGCUUCCCUCCUUCCUUUCACGGCACCACCGUGCUGCAACCACCCAACCACGCAGCCCCAUUCUCAGCCACCCUCACCACCAUCUCCGGCGCAACACCCGACCCAAACACCUCCCUUAUUUCUCCUCCUCCUUCGUCGUGAACUCCCCUGCCCCUCCCCUGCUUUUCGGUUCAACUCACCUCCCCUGACUUUUCUCUUCUUCACGCCCAGCCGCCGGCACCGCCGUUAGGCUGCGCACCACCCUCCAUCUCCUCUGUGCGCAAGCCGCAACCACCGCACCCCCCCUGAACCAUCCCACUCUCAAAUCCCAGCUUCUCCUUUUCAGUGCACACGACCUCCCUCUUCCCCUUCCUUGCUGUUUCGCCGCCGCGAACACACCACCACCAUCGCCUUACCGGCGCGAUUCCGCGCCUUUGCAAAGUCCAGAACCCGAGCGCAGCCCCACCCCCUCUCUCUCCUCUCCUCUCCCUCCUCUGUUUCGAGCCUCCUCUCCCUGCUUCCCCUGUUUUUGUUCGAAAGCCCCAGGGAACAAAACAAAAGAAAAAAAAAAAAAGAAAAAAAAAGAAAAAAAAGAAAAGGGAACAAACCCAAUUAGUUUUACUGCUUCUAAACCCACCAUCCAAGCCAAGCCCAAUAUCCUAUCCUUGACCCAAAACUUCAAAAAAUUGGGCUCGGGGCUCAGGAAGGACGAUCCAUCAGACAGGGAGUAUAAAAACUACGGUUGAGGUACUGCUGGGGACCACGGAAACGAGUAGUGGAGAGGAUUUCACUAUUGCAAGUUCACAUAAGUUAAUGUUAAGUUGUAACAAGUUUAAGUAAAGAUUCUUGAUUAAGUUUCGUACUUUUAUUAAGGAAUUGAGAAGGAUGAUUAUGUGAAUUUUGGAGUUUAAUAGCUUAUGAUUGAUAGUUGCCUUGUAAUUCCCAAGAGGGAGUUACGGUGGGUAAUGUCCCGACCGAAUUAGGUUAAUUCCGCUGCUAAUUAUGAUUAAAUAAUUGAAUUAGAGUUCGGGGUGUUACAGAUCCCAACAAUGUAAUUACAACGUACAUGGUUAUUAUUUUUGUAUAUCUUUACUUUUUUUACAGGUUUAGACAUACGGUAAUAAAAAAAUCA
Molecule: long non-coding RNA, 1195 nt
Organism: Spinacia oleracea (spinach)
Lineage: Eukaryota; Viridiplantae; Streptophyta; Magnoliopsida; Caryophyllales; Amaranthaceae
Exons: 3
Source: RefSeq, a predicted model, not a curated record